GUAGUACAGUACCUUUAGAUAUGACCUAUAUAUCACAACAUCCCAGUGUAACCUUGUCCCUGUCUGGAUACAGUAGUACAGUACCUUUAGAUAUGACCUAUAUAUCACAACAUCCCAGUGUGACCUUGUCCCUGUCUGGAUACAGUAGUACAGUACCUUUAGAUAUGACCUAUAUAUCACAACAUCCCAGUGUAACCUUGUCCCUGUCUGGAUACAGUAGUACAGUACCUUUAGAUAUGACCUAUAUACCACAACAUCCCAGUGUAACCUUGUCCCUGCCUGGAUACAGUAGUACAGUACCUUUAGAUAUGACCUAUAUAUCCGUCUGCUUCCCAAAUAACACCUUAUUCCCUUUAUAGUGCACAACUUUACAUCAGAGACCUAUGAGCCAAUUGGGAAGCGGCCUGUGUGUUCUGUCUCACCUGAGGUGUGUGUUUGUUCUGUCUCACCUGAGGUGUGUGUGUGUGUUCUGUCUCACCUGAGGUGUGUGUGUGUGUUCUGUCUCACCUGAGGUGUGUGUGUGUGUUCUGUCUCACCUGAGGUGUGUGUGUGUUCUGUCUCACCUGAGGUGUGUGUUUGUUCUGUCUCACCUGAGGUGUGUGUGUGUGUUCUGUCUCUCCUGAGGUGUGUGUGUUCUGUCUCACCUGAGGUGUGUGUGUGUGUUCUGUCUCACCUGAGGGGUGUGUGUGUGUGUUCUGUCUCACCUGAGGGGUGUGUGUGUGUUCUGUCUCUCCUGAGGUGUGUGUGUGUGUUCUGUCUCACCUGGGGGGUGUGUGUUCUGUCUCACCUGAGGGGUGUGUGUGUGUUCUGUCUCACCUGAGGGGUGUGUGUGUGUUCUGUCUCACCUGAGGUGUUUAUUCUCUCACCUGAGGGGGGGGGGUGGUGUUCUGUCCUUUCUGUCACACCUACCUGUCUGCCACGAUCCAUUGUAGACACCUGAACAUUCGUCUCUAUGCCGGGUGUCUUUCAGAAGUCCUCUGGCUACCUUUACACAGGCAGCCCAGUUCUGAUCUUUUGCCACCUAAUUGAUAUUUUGCCAAUUAUUGGGUAAAAGAUAAGAACUGGACUGCCAGCGUAAAAGGACAUAACGUAAUGCCCUACCGCAGUAUGACGUGGAGAAAAGUCUACACAUCAUUGCCUUGCCAUUCCACCAAAAUACAUGGAAUGCCCAUCGGAGGGACUACGGUCUGGGAUGGUUAUAGAAGGUCUGGGAUGGUUAUAGAAGGUCUACAGGGAUCUAUAUGUGAUCCGAUAGGGUCUAAGUGGAUAUAAGGUCUGGGAUGGUUAUAGAAGGUCUACAGGGAUCUAUAUGUGAUCCGAUAGGGUCUCAGUGGAUAUAAGGUCUGGGAUGGUUAUAGAAGGUCUACAGGGAUCUAUAUGUGAUCCGAUAGGGUCUAAGUGGAUAUAAGGUCUACAGGGAUCUAUAUGUGAUCCGAUAGGGUCUAAGUGGAUAUAAGGUCUACAGGGAUCUAUAUGUGAUCCGAUAGGGUCUAAGUGGAUAUAAGGUCUGGGAUGGUUAUAGAAGGUCUACAGGGAUCUAUCUAUAUGUGAUCCGAUAGGGUCUCAGUAGAUAUAAGGUCUGGGAUGGUUAUAGAAGAUCUACAGGAAUCUAUAUGUGAUCCGAUAGGGUCUCAGUGGAUAUAAGGUCUGGGAUGGUUAUAGAAGAUCUACAGGAAUCUAUAUGUGAUCCGAUAGGGUCUCAGUGGAUAUAAGGUCUGGGAUGGUUAUAGAAGAUCUACAGGAAUCUAUAUGUGAUCCGAUAGGGUCUCAGUAGAUAUAAGGUCUGGGAUGGUUAUAGAAGAUCUACAGGAAUCUAUAUGUGAUCCGAUAGGGUCUCAGUAGAUAUAAGGUCUGGGAUGGUUAUAGAAGAUCUACAGGAAUCUAUAUGUGAUCCGAUAGGGUCUCAGUGGAUAUAAGGUCUGCAUGACACUAUACACUUGGGACACUUAUUAACAUGUUUCCAUAUAAUCAUAUUGGUGUGUGUUAUUGUGUAAGUGUGUGUGGUGUGUGUGUCUUAGUGUGUAAGAGGUGCCCCGGUUUAGGCUAUACUGCUGUGCUAGCCAAGGGAUUUUUAGGUUGUAUAAGCAAUAUUAAAUAUGGACUGUUGUUUUUUUUGGUGUGUAUUUUUGGAAGUGGCAGGGAGGAGGGAACGGAGAGGCGUAUUGCUUCUUAUUUCUCCCAUAUAUACACAUAUUGAUGAUGUAACAGCAGUAAAUUAUUUAUCCUAAAGCGAUUGACUACUGUGUUUUUUUGGGGGGGGAAGAAAGGAGAGAGGGGGUGUGAUGUAUGAGAGACAAAGAUAUCAUUAGUUUUUAUGUGAUUCCUUUUUUUAACAUUUUUAAUUCAGUUUAAUUUCAGAUAGUUUUCGGACCUGUUUUGCUCAUUUUUAUUAACACUGAACAAAAAUAUAAAUGCAAAAUGUAAAAGUG
Oncorhynchus tshawytscha (Chinook salmon) is the source of this 2429-nucleotide long non-coding RNA. Lineage: Eukaryota; Metazoa; Chordata; Actinopteri; Salmoniformes; Salmonidae. The record is from Ensembl.